AUCAUUUUAUGAUAAUUAAUUAUUAAGUAGUUAUAAAGAUUAGCAUGGCCCCUGCGCAAGGAUGACACAUAAAUUUGUGACGCAUUCCAUAUUAAA
RNAcentral lists this small nuclear RNA (96 nucleotides) under Nannospalax galili (Upper Galilee mountains blind mole rat). Lineage: Eukaryota; Metazoa; Chordata; Mammalia; Rodentia; Spalacidae. The record is from RNAcentral.